ACAUAAUCCAAAAUCAGUUAAAUAACAAUUUAACUUUCAACAAAAUAACUUAAACAUUGCAUCUUUGAUAAACAAUUAUCAAGUAAUCACAGCAUUCAAUCAUCAUCAAUAACAUAACAUCUUAGAGUCGACAAAUGUGACAAUGCAACUUAGACACUCUUUAUGCAUGUGGUACCAAUCGUCAUCAUAGUAUUAAUAUACUUUAAUCGUGUGCAGGACAAAGCUC
Molecule: long non-coding RNA, 226 nt
Filed under: Medicago truncatula (barrel medic)
Lineage: Eukaryota; Viridiplantae; Streptophyta; Magnoliopsida; Fabales; Fabaceae
Description: long non-coding RNA (MTRU_LNC007670)
Source: RNAcentral